RNAcentral lists this unclassified non-coding RNA (518 nucleotides) under Hevea brasiliensis (rubber tree). The record is from RNAcentral. Lineage: Eukaryota; Viridiplantae; Streptophyta; Magnoliopsida; Malpighiales; Euphorbiaceae.
GAAGCAUCUCUCUCUUUGCAAUUUUGUUACUGAUGAAAAAGAUAAUAAUCUUCUGCUGCCUCUUGGUUAUGAAUCUAUACUUGAAGAAGUUGCCAGAUGAAAAUAGUUAUGCUUGCCUGAAAUGUCAGUGGCAUGAACUGAAAAUCUGAAACUACAAAUUUCUAUAGGAUUCCAGACCCAUGUUGCUAGUAACCUUGAUGGGGAAACAUCUUAAUUGUUCUGCUUGCUAGUUCUUUUUUUUGGUAAUAAUACUGAUAAUAAAUUGAAAGAAAGGCACCGGGAAUUAUUCAAAUCUUAACCAAGGAGACGUCAAAACAACAUUAAUAAUGAGACAUUUUGAAUUCUGGACUGUCCGGUGCUUUAUAUUAAUGCAUGAAUGGUCUUACAGUUAGUGCAUUAAUUGAGAAAUCCUUACCCUUGCUCCCAGUUUAAUGGUCUAGAAUUUGAAAAUUUUAAUAUAUAUGUAAUCUGCUCUUUAAUUUUAAGGUCUCCCAUUAUUGGAUGCUGAUUCAAUGAAG